AGAGUUUGAUCCUGGCUCAGAACGAACGCUAACGGUACUCCUAACACAUGCAAGUUGAACGGAAGUAGCAAUACUUUAGUAGCAAACGGGUGAGUAACGCGUGGGAACUUACCUUUAGGUGGGGAAUAGUAGAGAGAAAUUUCUAGUAAUACCGCAUAUACUUGAGAAAGGAAAGGCAAGCAAUUGUCGCCUAAAGAAAG
Molecule: ribosomal RNA, 200 nt
Filed under: uncultured bacterium
Lineage: Bacteria
Description: partial 16S ribosomal RNA
Rfam family: Bacterial small subunit ribosomal RNA
Source: RNAcentral